CCUACGGGUGGCAGCAGUGAGGAAUAUUGGUCAAUAGACGAGAGUCUGAACCAGCCAAGUAGCGUGAAGGAUGACUGCCCUAUGGGUUGUAAACUUCUUUUAUAUGGGAAUAAAACGUUCCACGUGUGGGAUUUUGUAUGUACCAUAUGAAUAAGGAUCGGCUAACUCCGUGCCAGCAGCCGCGGUAAUACGGAGGAUCCGAGCGUUAUCCGGAUUUAUUGGGUUUAAAGGGAGCGUAGGUGGAUUGUUAAGUCAGUUGUGAAAGUUUGUGGCUCAACCGUAAAAUUGCAGUUGAAACUGGCAGUCUUGAGUACAGUAGAGGUGGGCGGAAUUCGUGGUGUAGCGGUGAAAUGCUUAGAUAUCACGAAGAACUCCGAUUGCGAAGGCAGUUCACUGGACUGCAACUGACACUGAGGCUCGAAAGUGUGGGUAUCAAACAGGAUUAGAUACCCUUGUAGUC
Molecule: ribosomal RNA, 460 nt
Filed under: uncultured bacterium
Lineage: Bacteria
Description: partial 16S ribosomal RNA
Rfam family: Bacterial small subunit ribosomal RNA
Source: RNAcentral